UCUUACCGGUAUUUCCAUUAUUAUUUACAACUUUAUCGUCAAACGGACAUUCUUCAUUUUCUUCGCGACAUUCUGCGUUUUUCUCGUUCUCCACAAUCUCUUCGCUUUUCACGUCAGUUUCGUCGUUCGAAUUUCGGCACUGUUCGGAAGGUGUCGCGGUCUCCUCGUUCAGAGUUCGUUCCUGCUGCUCUUGUUCUUACAUGUAUUUCUCUUGUUGUUUUUUCAUUGACGUUUACGGCAGACCUUCAACCGCAAACUACAAAUCGUAUUUGAAGGCAUUUCAAAGUACCACAAGUUUUCGACAGCGAAGUAACCAACUCAUCCUCAAUUUUCCUAACUUCUAACAGUUGACCUCAAAAUACAAUUUGAAGUUUGCAGUCUGCCGUAAAAGUCGAUCUUAAAGUCUCUAACGUCGUAACGCAAGAUCGAUAAACUUGCAUAGAUGCAAAAGCCCACAAAUUUCAAGAUAGACUCAGACUAUUUCCUAUCGCUGACCAUGACUUAGUCACGUGACCAGUGAGCUACAUAUAUCAUUCGGUCCAUGAGAAAAGUGAAUCCAAGAUGGCGUAAUUCACGUCCAAAAUCGGUCGAAGGUCGUAAACAGGUUUCAUACCAUUUUCCCUAGCUAAUGGACCAUUUGCAUUAUAGACUAAAUUUUGAUCUCAACAAGUCUGGACAAAAAUUUCAUCACAGCUUGAAAGAGGAUCACAAAAUUAG
Molecule: non-coding RNA, 717 nt
Organism: Paramuricea clavata
Lineage: Eukaryota; Metazoa; Cnidaria; Anthozoa; Malacalcyonacea; Plexauridae
Source: the annotation of a GenBank genome assembly